CGCACGGUAAACGAUGGAUGCCCGCUGUUGGUCCGAAUGGGUCAGCGGCCAAGCGAAAGCGUUAAGCAUCCCACCUGGGGAGUACGCCGGCAACGGUGAAACUCAAAGGAAUUGACGGGGGCCCGCACAAGCGGAGGAACAUGUGGUUUAAUUCGAUGAUACGCGAGGAACCUUACCCGGGCUUGAAUUGCAGACGAACGUUCCAGAGAUGGUCCGGCCCUUCGGGGCGUCUGUGAAGGUGC
Molecule: ribosomal RNA, 242 nt
Filed under: uncultured Prevotella sp.
Lineage: Bacteria; Pseudomonadati; Bacteroidota; Bacteroidia; Bacteroidales; Prevotellaceae
Description: partial 16S ribosomal RNA
Rfam family: Bacterial small subunit ribosomal RNA
Source: RNAcentral